This 254-nucleotide ribosomal RNA is filed under the name uncultured bacterium. RNAcentral's name for it is "partial 16S ribosomal RNA". It matches the Rfam family "Bacterial small subunit ribosomal RNA", at positions 524 to 776 of the family's 1533-position model. The record is from RNAcentral.
UACAGAGGGGGCAAGCGUUGUUCGGAAUUAUUGGGCGUAAAGAGCUCGUAGGCGGUGUGUCGCGUCGGCCGUGAAAACCUGGGGCUUAACUCUGGGCGUGCGGUCGAUACGGGCAUCACUAGAGUUCGGCAGGGGAGACUGGAAUUCCUGGUGUAGCGGUGAAAUGCGCAGAUAUCAGGAAGAACACCAAUGGCGAAAGCAGCUCUCUGGGACGGUACCGACGCUGAGACGCGAAAGCGUGGGGAGCGAACAGG